AAUUGGUCAAAAGUUUAAUGAAA
This 23-nucleotide non-coding RNA is filed under the name Arabidopsis thaliana (thale cress). The record is from RNAcentral. Lineage: Eukaryota; Viridiplantae; Streptophyta; Magnoliopsida; Brassicales; Brassicaceae.